Molecule: long non-coding RNA, 792 nt
Organism: Leucoraja erinaceus (little skate)
Lineage: Eukaryota; Metazoa; Chordata; Chondrichthyes; Rajiformes; Rajidae
Exons: 2
Source: RefSeq, a predicted model, not a curated record
AAAAGUCGUGAGUUUAGCUUCAGAAAUAGCGACUGUCCGUCCCGACUCUAAACUUUCCUGUUCGUGGAAUAAGCCCCUUAUCCGGGGUUAACCCUCCCGGUCUGCCGAGCCCCCCUGUCCCGUCCCGUCCCCUUCUCUAUCGCCUCUACACCUUUCCCCACCUGCAGUUUAAGUCGUAAACGCCGCCACGUGUUUUACGGCAGAAACAUCUCCUGCGCUUGGAAGGGAACUUUGUUCCCGAGUUUCCCCGAUCCCAAAUUUGUCUUAAAGGCGCUGAAAGUAACCGGCGGGCGAGUGGGUGGAGGCGUGGAGUCGCCGAGCUCCAGCUGAAUACAAAGCGAGACAAGACAAGAAGAACAAGUGCAAAAAUAAUCCACAAGAGAAAAAAAAAAUUCUUACCAGACAUUAUAAGAUUAUUUUUUUGUUCUUAACUACAGGAUAGAUGCUUAUUCGGCCCCAAGAUCUUAGUCUUCAGAUUUGUUCACAAGAGUGGAAUAUUUUUAAAAUUAAGCCAAUUUCUCCCCUGCUGUGCCGAACAUUGGAUUAGUCACAAACAAAAUUAUUGCACUAUAGCUUAGAAUAUAACUUAGAGUUUUGGAGCACACUUGUCGACCUUUUUAAAACCCCUACAAUCCAAUGAUUUGACAACGAAUGAUUGCGCGAUACUUUCAAUUUGAAUAUUCAAAGCCUAGACAAAAAGACUGCUCUCUUGCUAAAACACUGUGCAUUUCCAUGUACUAAAGCCUUCAAUGGAAUAAAAUACAAUGUAAAAGUGUGGAACUUUCAGCAGAA